Molecule: long non-coding RNA, 1478 nt
Filed under: Danio rerio (zebrafish)
Lineage: Eukaryota; Metazoa; Chordata; Actinopteri; Cypriniformes; Danionidae
Description: lncRNA si:dkey-15f23.2 (ENSDARG00000096690.2)
Source: RNAcentral
UUAAAAUUUAUACACUUGUUUGUUUGUUUCUUUGACAGUCCACAACUAUAUCCGUGACAAGAUCUUACACCCUCUGCACAGAAGACGACAGAAUACAUAAUCACAACAAGAUCAAGCAAGCUCGGCACACAAGAGGCCAGAAUACAUCUUUGUUUUUACAAAAUGUUCCAUAUUGUUGAGUUCAUCGAGUCAUCUGAAGUGGAAGUUGUGCCAUCUUCAUGGGUACAGAAUGGUGCGUGUGCUUGGCCAUCUUACAAGUCUAUGGCUAAGAUUCAUAAGGCCGUCACACUGCAGGACUCUCCCAAUCAAUCUUGGGCAACCUUCAGGGUGCGAAUUAUUUACACCACAGACUCCUAUGAGGAAGCUCGUCUUAAACUUCCACAGGCAACUGUGAUGUCUGACUUGCAGACCGAUGAGGAUGAUGAUCGCCCAUCCUACACUAAAAGAAAGAACAGGUUGGGGACAUAAAAGACACAACUUUAGUGACAGUGAUGAGGAGAUUUUAUCUGGAAGAAAGAGACUGGGAAAAAAAGGCAGAAUGGAGGAUCUUACAGAAAUUGAUGACGCACCGCAUAUACCGUCACCACCAAUGACUACGGCAGAGUCCUUUAGAACACCAGCAAGAUGCACGGAUACUGCACAUCCCAGUACGCCAAGGAACAUUUACAGUCCUUGUUCCACUGCAGUGGGAAAUCAAGAAAGAACUGGCUGCAACUCGUCAUGUCUUUCAUUACUGACUGAAGUAAUAAAAGCACAAGAAGUCAUGAAGCAGCAACUGGACGUGAUUCUUAAAAAACUGCAUAAGCAAAAUAGUACUCUGCAGUGUGAAGACAUUCCCGAACCAAGCACAUUUGACCUGCCACUGUCCAAUUUACUUGAUUUGGAAAAGCUAGAAUGUCAGAUAAAGGAGCAGCCCGAACAAAUGAAGAAAUUGGUUGCCUACUUUGGAAUAAUUGGUGGGUUUUCCACCAAGGAAGCAGUAUGGCGCAUCCUUGGAAAGCUGUUAGCCAACUCCCUGGCUAAACAAAUUAACUGGAGUGGGGCUAACCAAAAAGUGGCCUUUCGUACACUCACCCUUAGGACUGUCGUUGUCAAUGCAGUGCGGACAAAUGGCCAUACGAAGAGUGCCACUGAUAAAGAGGUUGAAAAAUACAUAACAAGGUGGCUACAACUUGCUCCUGAUCGGGAUGGAGGAAGGAAAGAAAGACAGAAAACAAAUGUCUAAAUCUCAAUUAUUAUUAUUUUUUUUUAUUCUAAAGCAACAUUUUAAGUUUAUUAAGAUUCCCUGAUCCAUAGGCAAUUUCUUUAUUUUACUUUCAACUUGUGCAAUUUCAUUUAUUUUUACAUUGGUAUUAAGUUUUUGAGACUUUUAUAUGUGCAAUUUAAGAUUUUCUUUCUUUAAAUAUUCCAGUUUACUUAAUUUUGUUUACAGUGUUAAUUAUUGUGUAAUUUGUAGUGUGUGUAAUAAUUGUGUAAUU